RNAcentral lists this ribosomal RNA (425 nucleotides) under uncultured bacterium. Its description in RNAcentral is "partial 16S ribosomal RNA". It matches the Rfam family "Bacterial small subunit ribosomal RNA", at positions 354 to 796 of the family's 1533-position model. The record is from RNAcentral.
GUGGGGAAUAUUGGGCAAUGGGCGAAAGCCUGACCCAGCAACGCCGCGUGAAGGAAGAAGGUUUUCGGAUCGUAAACUUCUAUCCUUGGUGAAGAUAAUGACGGUAGCCAAGAAGGAAGCCCCGGCUAACUACGUGCCAGCAGCCGCGGUCAUACGUAGGGGGCAAGCGUUGUCCGGAAUGAUUGGGCGUAAAGGGCGCGUAGGCGGCCCGGUAAGUCUGAAGUGAAAGUCCUGCUUUUAAGGUGGGGAUUGCUUUGGAUACUGUCGGGCUUGAGUGCAGGAGAGGUAAGCGGAAUUCCCGGUGUAGCGGUGAAAUGCGUAGAGAUCGGGAGGAACACCAGUGGCGAAGGCGGCUUACUGGACUGUAACUGACGCUGAGGCGCGAAAGUGUGGGGAGCAAACAGGAUUAGAAACCCGAGUAGUCC